GAUGACAAGCAGCUUUGACUUCCUUCUGUUUUCAUGUUGAACAGCAGCUGCUGCUAGAGCCUGGUAUGUCUGAGAUGAUUCCCACUCAUCACUGACUCUCUUGGGUGAGAGGAAGCACCACACUCAUCCCUAGAAGAGUCUGAAGAAAAAGUGGAGGAAGCUGGAACUAAGUUCAAUGCAGCUCAACAGCUAUGGGAAGCAUGCCGCUGUGGGAUGUUCAGAGUGGAGGAGGCCACACAUGUGCAGGUGCCGCUCUGGAAACAUCUGGGCUGUGAAGGUGAACACUGCAGGAGAGGAGCAGUAGACACCACAUGGGUGCUGAGAAUUGAACCUGGGUCAUUUGGAAGAGCAGCUAAUAAUCUCCUAAUUGCCAAGCCACCUUCCUGUCCCUGUACACUGCUUCUGUAGCCGAGUAUUCUUUGUUUGUUUUAAGCCUGAGUCUCAUGUGGCCUGAAUGAUCUCACCCUGACUGUGUAGCUGAGGAUGACCUUAAACUCCUGGUCCUCCUGCCUCCACCUCAGAAGUCUGGGAUUACAAGUGAGCUGCUGUGUCUGGUGUUGGAAACACUUUUCUAUAUUAAUCUGCCUUAAACAUGACUUUAUUUUAUUCUUUAAGUACUAUAGUUGACUGUUAACUAUUGGAAAUGUGCAUCCAACAUUUUAAAUUAUAUAUUACACGUGAGUGAACAUUUUUAUAAGGAAACCCACUGGGCAUACCAUGAAUAUUACUUUGGCUAGAUUCUUAAAAGUGAAACAGUGAGCCAAGGGGAGUGAACACUUUCAGGCUCUGGUACAUUUUGCCUACUUGCUUUUGGUAUAAUAAAUUCACCCUCCCAAGGCACAGAAGGUGAGGCUUGCCGCUGCCUUGCAUCCUAACAUAGCUCUACUCUUAACUCUCAACAUUCUGUUUGCUUUCUUUUUUUAAUUUUUUAAAAUUUCAAGGUACUAUACAAGAAAGUUUCAGUCAAAGAUUAAUUUGGGGAUAUAAACAAAGAUUCUGAUCGUUCCUUUCUCUGUUGUAUAUAAGAGACUAAGGAAAGAUCCUGCACUUGAGAUUUUACAAAUCACAAUAUAUAGCAAGGCACAGAGGAAUGGGAGCCCCCAUUCAGUGCAUGAAUGAAAAAGCUGGUGUAAAAACUAGAGUGGUAGUUUCUAAAAAGAAAUUAAUAAUAAUACAAAAUUAUCAUAGAUUCAGAAAUUCCAUUCAUUUGUAUCAAGUAAGAGAAAUAAAAAUGUGCACACCAA
Molecule: long non-coding RNA, 1244 nt
Filed under: Mus caroli (Ryukyu mouse)
Lineage: Eukaryota; Metazoa; Chordata; Mammalia; Rodentia; Muridae
Description: lncRNA (MGP_CAROLIEiJ_G0013229.1)
Source: RNAcentral